GACGAACGCUGGCGGCGUGCUUAACACAUGCAAGUCGAACGGAAAGGCCCUGCUUUUGUGGGGUGCUCGAGUGGCGAACGGGUGAGUAACACGUGAGUAACCUGCCCUUGACUUUGGGAUAACUUCAGGAAACUGGGGCUAAUACCGGAUAGGAGCUCCUGCUGCAUGGUGGGGGUUGGAAAGUUUCGGCGGUUGGGGAUGGACUCGCGGCUUAUCAGCUUGUUGGUGGGGUAGUGGCUUACCAAGGCUUUGACGGGUAGCCGGCCUGAGAGGGUGACCGGCCAAAUUGGGACUGGAAUACGGCCCAGACCCCUACGGGGGGCAGCAGGGGGGAAUAUUGCACAAUGGGCGGAAGCCUGAUGCAGCAACGCCGCGGGCGGGAUGACGGCCUUCGGGUUGUAAACCGCUUUCGCCUGUGACGAAGGGUGAGUGACGGUAAUGGGUAAAGGAGCACCGGCUAACUACGU
Molecule: ribosomal RNA, 467 nt
Filed under: uncultured bacterium
Lineage: Bacteria
Description: partial 16S ribosomal RNA
Rfam family: Bacterial small subunit ribosomal RNA
Source: RNAcentral